AUAUAUCAACCUUCUCUUAUUUGAGUUGUUUGGAUGUGGGGGUUUGCUGGACUCUUAAAUGAUUCAGCUCCCCUAAAAUGCAUUAGCAGAACAACCUGUUCAUUGGCGUGAUAAUUAUCUAUGCUAUUGAAUGUGAGGGCAGUUCAGCUUUCUAAUCGUCCUUGGACAAUUUAUCAUUA
Molecule: unclassified non-coding RNA, 179 nt
Filed under: uncultured Cortinarius
Lineage: Eukaryota; Fungi; Basidiomycota; Agaricomycetes; Agaricales; Cortinariaceae
Description: sequence contains ITS2
Source: RNAcentral